RNAcentral lists this long non-coding RNA (328 nucleotides) under Trifolium pratense (red clover). RNAcentral describes it as "long non-coding RNA (TPRA_LNC002573)". Lineage: Eukaryota; Viridiplantae; Streptophyta; Magnoliopsida; Fabales; Fabaceae. The record is from RNAcentral.
UAGAAAUCCUUACCAAUAUAGUCUCCCCACUAUUCUCAUGGAGAAUUGGGUUUAUGGGUAGUUAGAAUUAGAAUGAAAGAUUGAACUUUGAUGAGAUUACCCCCUUAGAUUAAAUCUCUCAAAUUGUAUAGAUUUGAUGUAUCUUGUUUAUGAAUCUUGGUGACUUCCCUUGCCCUUGUUGUGCCACUAAUUGAUGGCCUAAUUUGUCACUAAAAUUCAUCUAAGUUAAGGUUAGGAUUGUACACGAAAAAUUGCACAAAACUGAGUUUGGCAGGAAAUAGAGCACCAGGGCAAUUCUGCCCUUUGCGCCUGGGGCACAGCCUCUGCG